Molecule: ribosomal RNA, 506 nt
Filed under: uncultured bacterium
Lineage: Bacteria
Description: partial 16S ribosomal RNA
Rfam family: Bacterial small subunit ribosomal RNA
Source: RNAcentral
GAUGAACGCUAGCUACAGGCUUAACACAUGCAAGUCGAGGGGUAACGAGAGGAAAGCUUGCUUUCCUUGUCGACGACCGGCGCACGGGUGAGUAACGCGUAUCCAACCUGCCCCCAACUAGGGAAUAACCUUGCGAAAGUAAGACUAAUACCCCAUAAUUUCCUCAGAUGUCAUCUGACGAGGAAUAAAGAUUUAUCGGUUGUGGAUGGGGAUGCGUCUGAUUAGCUUGUUGGCGGGGUAACGGCCCACCAAGGCAACGAUCAGUAGGGGUUCUGAGAGGAAGGUCCCCCACAUUGGAACUGAGACACGGUCCAAACUCCUACGGGAGGCAGUAGUGAGGAAUAUUGGUCAAUGGGCGGAAGCCUGAACCAGCCAAGUAGCGUGCAGGAUGACGGCCCUAUGGGUUGUAAACUGCUUUUAUACAGGAAUAAAGUUAGCCACGUGUGGUUAUUUGUAGGUACUGUAUGAAUAAGGACCGGCUAAUUCCGUGCCAGCAGCCGCGGUAA